GAUGAAGAACGUAGCGAAAUGCGAUAAGUAAUGUGAAUUGCAGAAUUCAGUGAACCAUCGAAUCUUUGAACGCACAUUGCGCCCGGCAGUAAUCUGCCGGGCAUGCCUGUCCGAGCGUCAUUUCUCCCCUCGAGCGCAGCUUUCCCCCCCGGGGGAGGGCCGCGCCCGGUGUUGGGGCGCUACGGAGGAGCCCAGCGCUCCCCCGUAGGCCCCGAAAUGUAGUGGCGGUCCCGCCGCGGCGCCCCCUGCGUAGUAGUUUUACAACUCGCAUCGGGUCCCGGCGGAGGCCAGCCGUCAAACCCCCCACCUUCAAUAGUUUGACCUGGGAUCAGGUAGGGUUACCCGCUGAACUUAAGCAUAUCAAUAAGCGGAGGA
RNAcentral lists this unclassified non-coding RNA (375 nucleotides) under soil metagenome. Its description in RNAcentral is "partial contains 5.8S ribosomal RNA, internal transcribed spacer 2, and large subunit ribosomal RNA". The stretch from base 1 to 120 matches the Rfam family "5.8S ribosomal RNA", at positions 35 to 154 of the family's 154-position model. The record is from RNAcentral.